This 497-nucleotide ribosomal RNA is filed under the name uncultured bacterium. RNAcentral describes it as "partial 16S ribosomal RNA". It matches the Rfam family "Bacterial small subunit ribosomal RNA", at positions 28 to 507 of the family's 1533-position model. The record is from RNAcentral.
GAUGAACGCUGGCGGCGUGCCUAAUACAUGCAAGUCGAGCGAACAGACGAGGAGCUUGCUCCUCUGACGUUAGCGGCGGACGGGUGAGUAACACGUGGAUAACCUACCUAUAAGACUGGGAUAACUUCGGGAAACCGGAGCUAAUACCGGAUAAUAUAUUGAACCGCAUGGUUCAAUAGAGAAAGACGGUUUUGCUGUCACUUAUAGAUGGAUCCGCGCCGCAUUAGCUAGUUGGUAAGGUAACGGCUUACCAAGGCAACGAUGCGUAGCCGACCUGAGAGGGUGAUCGGCCACACUGGAACUGAGACACGGUCCAGACUCCUACGGGAGGCAGCAGUAGGGAAUCUUCCGCAAUGGGCGAAAGCCUGACGGAGCAACGCCGCGUGAGUGAUGAAGGUCUUCGGAUCGUAAAACUCUGUUAUUAGGAAAGAACAAAUGUGUAAUUAACUAUGCACGUCUUGACGGUACCUAAUCAGAAAGCCACGGCUAACUACGUG